This 277-nucleotide ribosomal RNA is filed under the name uncultured bacterium. RNAcentral describes it as "partial 16S ribosomal RNA". It matches the Rfam family "Bacterial small subunit ribosomal RNA", at positions 15 to 286 of the family's 1533-position model. The record is from RNAcentral.
GAUCAUGGCUCAGGAUGAACGCUGGCGGCGCGCCUAACACAUGCAAGUCGAACGGCACCUGCCCUCGGGCAGAAGCGAGUGGCGAACGGCUGAGUAACACGUGGAGAACCUGCCCCCCUCCCCCCGGGGAUAGCCGCCCGAAAAGGGACGGGGUAAAUACCGGGAUACCCCGGGGUGCCGCAUGGCACCCCGGCUAAAGCCCCGACGGGAGGGGGAUGGCUCCGCGGCCCAUCAGGUAGACGGCGGGGUGACGGCCCACCGUGCCGACAACGGGUAG